GUGGGGAAUAUUGGGCAAUGGGCGAAAGCCUGACCCAGCAACGCCGCGUGAAGGAAGAAGGUCUUCGGAUCGUAAACUUCUAUCCUUGGUGAAGAUAAUGACGGUAGCCGAGAAGGAAGCCCCGGCUAACUACGUGCCAGCAGCCGCGGUAAUACGUCGGGGGCAAGCGCUGUCCGGAAUGAUUGGGCGUAAAGGGCGCGUAGGCGGCCUGGUAAGUCUGGAGUGAAAGUCCUGCUUUUAAGGUGGGAAUUGCUUUGGAUACUGUCGGGCUUGAGUGCAGGAGAGGUCAGUUGAAUUCCGGGUGUAGCGGUGAAAUGCGUAGAGAUCGGGAGGAACACCAGUGGCGAAGGCGACUUACUAGACUGUAACUGACUCUGAGGCGCGAAAGUGUGGGGAGCAAACAGGAUUAGAAACCCGGGUAGUCC
Molecule: ribosomal RNA, 425 nt
Filed under: uncultured bacterium
Lineage: Bacteria
Description: partial 16S ribosomal RNA
Rfam family: Bacterial small subunit ribosomal RNA
Source: RNAcentral